RNAcentral lists this long non-coding RNA (654 nucleotides) under Homo sapiens (human). RNAcentral describes it as "HSALNT0145634". Lineage: Eukaryota; Metazoa; Chordata; Mammalia; Primates; Hominidae. The record is from RNAcentral.
CGCUUGAACCCAAGAAGCGGAGGUUGCAGUGAGCCAAGACCGCACCACUGCACUCCAGCCUGGGCGACAAAAGCAAAACUCUUGUCUCAAAAAAAUAAUAAAAAUAAAAAUAAAAUAAAAUCAGGGUUCGGGUGAGAAGGGAACAAAAAGGCUAAUAAUGGCUCCAGCACUGUGGGAGGCUAGCUCAAGGGGAGCCCAUAGGAGAGGCCCAAGGUCUGGCAGGGAAGACAGGCCAGGCAUGAGGUGCAAGUUGUACCUCACCCCACAGCCAUGUUCUUUACUCCUCUCUCCUUCAGAGUUCACCCACAGUUCCUGCACUCAGCAAACAUGUCUGGGCAGGUGCGUAGAGCAGGUGCCUGCGCAGACCUCUGGGACUGGGGGCCUCCUCCCCAGCUCAAGGUUCUUUCUGCAGCCUCCACUGCCCUGAGCUCAGUCCCUGGCACAUGGGCCAUAGGGAACCAGGAAACCAAAGCAACCUGUGGGCAAGCAAGCCUCCCAAGUGCCAAGGCAAGAGACCGAGGGCACAAGACCCCCUGUCCGGUGAACAUGUGACUCACAUGACCUUAUCAAUCAUUGGAAAUGACUCACACUCUUUACCCUGCCCCUUUCGCCUUGUAUCCAAUAAAUAACAGCGCAGCCAGGCAUUCAGGACCA